UGCAAUGUGCCAGAGUGGUCUAAUGGUGAUAUUAACAAGACUGGUGAGUGAAGGCUAAUACUUCUAUACGAGUCAGCCACAGGUUCAAAUCCUGUCUUUGCAA
RNAcentral lists this transfer RNA (103 nucleotides) under Acinetobacter seifertii. RNAcentral's name for it is "tRNA-OTHER". It matches the Rfam family "tRNA". Rfam says of the family: Transfer RNA (tRNA) molecules are approximately 80 nucleotides in length. Lineage: Bacteria; Pseudomonadati; Pseudomonadota; Gammaproteobacteria; Moraxellales; Moraxellaceae. The record is from RNAcentral.